UUUAGUCUUACUAUAAUUUAUUAAUAAUGUAUUCAUUUUGACAAUCAUAUCCAUCCACGGCAUGUUGUCUAUCCCAAUUCUCUAGAGCACCUGUGAUUGGAUUAUGUUUUUGUUGAGCAGUUAUUAAUCAAUCGAACUAAAGAUAUUGGACAUUUGGAGAAUAUAGGCUUAUGUAAUUUCUAGAAUUGAUUCUAACUCAAAUUGUAUGAUGUCCAUCCCUUCUUAGACCAUUGAAAUGUUAUUAUUUACAUGGCAGAACUGUAUUUAUUGUGUAUAGGCCUGGUGGUCAUUGACAUAUUUUCCAGUAACUGCCGUGAUUGCUGCAGACAGCACAGAACGGGCCCUUUUCCUGUCUAACCAUUCAGACGAGUUCCAGUCUCAAAUUCAGUCAGUGUUCCAAAAACAAGCAUACAGCAGAUAUCACAAAGUGCUAUUCAGAAACCCAGCCUAAAACCCCAAACAGCAAGCAAUGCAGAUGUAGCAGUAUAGUGGCUAGGAAAAACUCCCUAGAAAGGCAGGAACCUAAGAAGACGCCUAGAAAGGAACCAUGAUCACAUGCAUAGAUUGAUGGUGGCAUCAUGUUCACCUGUUGCCGACCUCUUGAUGGACUCAGCCACUCUUAUGUGCUCUUUUGUUCCUGGUACUACAGAGUGUCUGUUUCUCUUUGACACCCUAAAGGCUGCUUAUUCAUUCACAUGCAUUGGCAACACGCUGGACCACUUGUCUCAUCCCGUUGCAUACACGUGUUUCAGUGUGAGAACCAGCGACCACCAGACAAUCCAUGUCACUGUUGUUAUCCUGACUGAGAGUCUGAGACACCACACUGGAUCAGGGAAAAGGGAAGGUCACACUUAAGUGAUCCAGAUGAGUCCUUUUGUUUAGGUCCAGUCACAUCUCAGUGGACUAAGACGUUCCAGUCCUUGUCCUGCCCGCAUAAACACUCAGUAAAAGGCCUGCCUGCCCAGAGCUUCCAGUGAACUCCCUCCUCUCUAUUCUGUCCCAGGUUUAGGCCUGUGUGCUGCUAAUUCAAUAAGUGUUUAUUUGUCACAUUCAGGAAAGCAAUAAACGCCUCAUUGUUUCAUUUUGUCUUCAUUUAUUCAAUUGC
This is a long non-coding RNA of Oncorhynchus tshawytscha (Chinook salmon), 1105 nucleotides long. NCBI's taxonomy places the organism in Eukaryota, Metazoa, Chordata, Actinopteri, Salmoniformes, Salmonidae. The record is from Ensembl.